This 253-nucleotide ribosomal RNA is filed under the name uncultured bacterium. Its description in RNAcentral is "partial 16S ribosomal RNA". It matches the Rfam family "Bacterial small subunit ribosomal RNA", at positions 524 to 776 of the family's 1533-position model. The record is from RNAcentral.
UACGGGGGGGGCAAGCGUUGUUCGGAAUUACUGGGCGUAAAGGGCGCGUAGGCGGCCUGCUAAGUCGGACGUGAAAUCCCUCGGCUCAACCGAGGAACUGCGUCCGAUACUGGUGGGCUUGAAUCCGGGAGAGGGAUGUGGAAUUCCAGGUGUAGCGGUGAAAUGCGUAGAUAUCAGGAAGAACACCCGUGGCGAAGGCGGCUCUCUGGGACGGUACUGACGCUGAGACGCGAAAGCGUGGGGAGCGAACAGG